AUUGAACGCUGGCGGCACGCUUAACACAUGCAAGUCGAACGGCAGCACGGGUGCUUGCACCUGGUGGCGAGUGGCGGACGGGUGAGUAACGCUUAGGAAUCUGCCUCAGAGCGGGGGACAACACGGGGAAACUCGUGCUAAUACCGCAUACAUUCUUCGGAACAAAGAUGGCCUCUACUUGUAAGCUAUCGCUUUGAGAUGAGCCUAAGUCGGAUUAGCUUGUUGGUGGGGUAAAGGCCUACCAAGGCGACGAUCCGUAGCUGGUCUGAGAGGAUGAUCAGCCACACUGGGACUGAGACACGGCCCAGACUCCUACGGGAGGCAGCAGUGGGGAAUAUUGGACAAUGGGGGCAACCCUGAUCCAGCGAUGCCGCGUGUGUGAAGAAGGCCUGCGGGUUGUAAAGCACUUUAGUUGGGGAGGAGAGGACUUGUGUGAAUAAUGCAAGUCUGAGACGUUACCCAAAGAAUAAGCACCGGCUAACUCUGUGCCAGCCGCCGCCGUAAGAC
This 507-nucleotide ribosomal RNA is filed under the name uncultured bacterium. RNAcentral describes it as "bacterial SSU rRNA". It matches the Rfam family "Bacterial small subunit ribosomal RNA", at positions 30 to 526 of the family's 1533-position model. The record is from RNAcentral.